AGAGUUUGAUCUUGGCUCAGAACGAACGUUAGCGGCGCGCCUAACACAUGCAAGUCGUGCGAGAAAGGGCUUCGGCCCCGGUAAAGCGGCGCACGGGUGAGUAACACGUGGAUAACCUACCCUCAGGUGGCGGAUAACCUUCCGAAAGGAGGGCUAAUACGGCAUAAGACCACGAUCUCGCAAGAGGUUGAGGUAAAAGCAGGCCUCUGUAUACAAGCUUGCGCCAGAGGAUGGGUCCGCGGCCCAUCAGCUAGUUGGUAGGGUAAUGGCCUACCAAGGCAAAGACGGGUAGCUGGUCUGAGAGGAUGAUCAGCCACACUGGAACUGAGACACGGUCCAGACUCCUACGGGAGGCAGCAGUGGGGAAUCUUGCGCAAUGGGCGAAAGCCUGACGCAGCGACGCCGCGUGAGUGAUGAAGGCCUUCGGGUUGUAAAGCUCUGUGGAGGGGGACGAAUAAGUCGGAGCGAAUAUCUCCGAUGAUGACGGUACCCCUUUAGCAAGCACCGGCUAACUCUGUGCCAGCAGCCGCGGUAAGACAGAGGGUGCAAACGUUGUUCGGAAUUACUGGGCGUAAAGCGCGUGUAGGCUGCUUGGAAAGUCGGAUGUGAAAGCCCUGGGCUCAACCUAGAAGUGCAUUCGAAACUUCUGAGCUUGAGUAUCGGAGAGGAAGGCGGAAUUCUCGGUGUAGAGGUGAAAUUCGUAGAUAUCGAGAGGAACACCGGUGGCGAAGCGGCCUUCUGGACGAUUACUGACGCUGAGACGCGAAAGCGUGGGGAGCAGACAGGAUUAGAUACCCUGAUAGUCCACGCCGUAAACGAUGAGUGCUAGGUGUCGCGGGCUUUGACCCCUGCGG
Molecule: ribosomal RNA, 854 nt
Filed under: uncultured Polyangium sp.
Lineage: Bacteria; Pseudomonadati; Myxococcota; Polyangiales; Polyangiaceae
Description: bacterial SSU rRNA
Rfam family: Bacterial small subunit ribosomal RNA
Source: RNAcentral